Long non-coding RNA from Apis dorsata (giant honeybee), 907 nucleotides. RefSeq lists it as uncharacterized. The transcript has 3 exons. The record is from RefSeq and is a predicted model, not a curated record. NCBI's taxonomy places the organism in Eukaryota, Metazoa, Arthropoda, Insecta, Hymenoptera, Apidae.
UCUACUAAAUGAAUGCAAAACUUUGAAUUUAUUAUAUAUUGGCGUGGGAUAUAAUAAAUAUUUAGGUCAAAUUUCUACGUAUCACAAUCUCAUACAAACAAAAAAUACAAACCAAGAAAAGCUACAAAAUAUGCAACAAUCUUAUAUCUAUACAUUACAUCUCUACAGCAAAUAGAAAUAUUUUUUAAAAAUUCAGAUGCCAUUACAAGAUCAAUAAAACAUGUAAUUCAAGACUUUCGCACAGUGCAGUACACUAUCUAAACCGGUAAUACAUUCGCACCUUCCUUAAGGCCUUGUUCGAAUCCUAAUUACAUUCCAAUUGCAACGCGCACUAUAAUUCAAACGAAAGUACCAUGCAUAUCUUCCACAUCACGUAAGCACAAACCAAUCCCACGCACCAGGGUGCGUAGUACCGGUAAUCGACAGUGGUCUUUAUUGAUUUUUCAUUUCCCAGCCAAUUCAAUUAUCUGGCAGGAGAGGACAAUUGGAUUAAUUCGGGCCCUUAAUUCCCUCGCUUCCAACAAUUGAGUUAGAUGGCUUGAUUCCAAGCGUUAUUUGUCUCGACCAUGCAGGCCGUAUUAAAAACCGUUACGCACUGUCGGCCACUUACCGAUGACCAGGUCAUUGGAUUCAAGAAAAUGUAUAGGCUUGUAUUGUGCAUGCCUCACAAUAAGUUUCAUGAGACAUUACAAAAUUAGAAACACGAGGAUACAGAAUUUCUUGUGAAGCAUGCACAAUAUGCAUUUGGUAUCGAUGAAUGUAAUUGACUAUUAUUAAAACAUGAACGAUGCAAAGAUGCAAAGAAUUAACGAUGAUGAUAAAGUAAUGUAUUAUUGAAUCAAAUGAAAGAAUUCUCACGAGCGAUUUUCGUAUUUAUUUUUAUCUUAUUUUAUUUAUUUGAUUACUA